AGAUGACUAUUUUUGGUUUCUUUUGGACAAAUGGACAAAUCUAUAGUGCAACACCUCCCCUUCUACUGCAUGGCCUGCAGUGGUGUACUAAGAUUCGUCAUGGAAAGUGGUAACAAGGGUUGUUAGGUUCUCUUGAUAUCCUGGUUACUUUGGAGCUUACACCUUAGUGAGAGGCAUG
Long non-coding RNA from Papaver somniferum (opium poppy), 178 nucleotides. RefSeq lists it as uncharacterized. The transcript is spliced from 3 exons. NCBI's taxonomy places the organism in Eukaryota, Viridiplantae, Streptophyta, Magnoliopsida, Ranunculales, Papaveraceae. The record is from RefSeq and is a predicted model, not a curated record.